RNAcentral lists this ribosomal RNA (466 nucleotides) under uncultured bacterium. RNAcentral describes it as "partial 16S ribosomal RNA". It matches the Rfam family "Bacterial small subunit ribosomal RNA", at positions 28 to 507 of the family's 1533-position model. The record is from RNAcentral.
GAUGAACGCUGGCGGCGUGCUUAACACAUGCAAGUCGAACGAUGAAGCCCAGCUUGCUGGGUGGAUUAGUGGCGAACGGGUGAGUAACACGUGAGUAACCUGCCCUUAACUCUGGGAUAAGCCUGGGAAACUGGGUCUAAUACCGGAGAGGAGCGUCCACCGCAUGGUGGGUGUUGGAAAGAUUUAUCGGUUUUGGAUGGACUCGCGGCCUAUCAGCUUGUUGGUGGGGUAAUGGCUCACCAAGGCGACGACGGGUAGCCGGCCUGAGAGGGUGACCGGCCACACUGGGACUGAGACACGGCCCAGACUCCUACGGGAGGCAGCAGUGGGGAAUAUUGCACAAUGGGCGGAAGCCUGAUGCAGCGACGCCGCGUGAGGGAUGACGGCCUUCGGGUUGUAAACCUCUUUCGGUUGGGAAGAAGCGAGAGUGACGGUACCUGGAGAAGAAGCACCGGCUAACUACGUG